RNAcentral lists this unclassified non-coding RNA (166 nucleotides) under uncultured fungus. RNAcentral's name for it is "sequence contains ITS1, 5.8S rRNA gene". The record is from RNAcentral. Lineage: Eukaryota; Fungi.
ACAAUUCGUCCCGGCCCAAUCCCGCAAGGGUCGUUGGUGUCGGACAUUUGUCAACCAUUGUGAAAACACCCGUUGCUUCGGCGGCAGGCUCGCGCCGUCAGCCCGUCCGAAGCUCAAUCAAAACUCUUUCUGUAAACUUCAGUCAGACACGAAAAGUAAAUCGUUA